GACGAACCGUGCGAACGUUGUUCGGAUUCACUGGGCAUAAAGGGCGCGUAGGCGGACGGUCAAGUCGGGGGUGAAAUCUUUCAGCUUAACUGGAAAAGUGCCUCCGAUACUGAUCGUCUCGAGGGAGGUAGGGGCAUGUGGAACUUCCGGUGGAGCGGUGAAAUGCGUAGAUAUCGGAAGGAACGCCGGUGGCGAAAGCGACGUGCUGGACCUCUUCUGACGCUGAGGCGCGAAAGCUAGGGGAGCAAACGGG
Molecule: ribosomal RNA, 253 nt
Filed under: uncultured bacterium
Lineage: Bacteria
Description: partial 16S ribosomal RNA
Rfam family: Bacterial small subunit ribosomal RNA
Source: RNAcentral